UGAGGUAGUAGAUUGUAUAGUUUUAGGGU
RNAcentral lists this non-coding RNA (29 nucleotides) under Callithrix jacchus (white-tufted-ear marmoset). The record is from RNAcentral. RNAcentral also lists the same sequence under 2 other names. Lineage: Eukaryota; Metazoa; Chordata; Mammalia; Primates; Cebidae.